RNAcentral lists this ribosomal RNA (253 nucleotides) under uncultured bacterium. RNAcentral's name for it is "partial 16S ribosomal RNA". It matches the Rfam family "Bacterial small subunit ribosomal RNA", at positions 524 to 776 of the family's 1533-position model. The record is from RNAcentral.
UACGUAGGGUGCAAGCGUUGUCCGGAAUUAUUGGGCGUAAAGAGCCUGUAGGCGGUUUGUUGCGUCUGCUGUGAAAUUUCGGGGCUCAACCCCGAACUUGCAGUGGGUACGGGCAGACUAGAGUGUGGUAGGGGAGACUGGAAUUCCUGGUGUAGCGGUGAAAUGCGCAGAUAUCAGGAGGAACACCGAUGGCGAAGGCAGGUCUCUGGGCCACUACUGACGCUGAGAAGCGAAAGCAUGGGGAGCGAACAGG